RNAcentral lists this ribosomal RNA (1560 nucleotides) under uncultured bacterium. RNAcentral's name for it is "bacterial SSU rRNA". It matches the Rfam family "Bacterial small subunit ribosomal RNA". The record is from RNAcentral.
ACCGGGGGGAUCCUCUAGAGAUUGAGUUUGAUCCUGGCUCAGGACGAACGCUGGCGGCGUGCUUAACACAUGCAAGUCGAACGAUGAACCACUUCGGUGGGGAUUAGUGGCGAACGGGUGAGUAACACGUGGGCAAUCUGCCCUGCACUCUGGGACGAGCCCUGGAAACGGGGUCUAAUACCGGAUAAUACUUCCACUCUCCUGGGUGGGGGUUGAAAGCUCCGGCGGUGCAGGAUGAGCCCGCGGCCUAUCAGCUAGUCGGUGAGGUAAUGGCUCACCGAGGCGACGACGGGUAGCCGGCCUGAGAGGGCGACCGGCCACACUGGGACUGAGACACGGCCCAGACUCCUACGGGAGGCAGCAGUGGGGAAUAUUGCACAAUGGGCGCAAGCCUGAUGCAGCGACGCCGCGUGGGGGAUGACGGCCUUCGGGUUGUAAACCUCUUUCAGCAGGGAAGAAGCGCAAGUGACGGUACCUGCAGAAGAAGCGCCGGCUAACUACGUGCCAGCAGCCGCGGUAAUACGUAGGGCGCAAGCGUUGUCCGGAAUUAUUGGGCGUAAAGAGCUCGUAGGCGGCUUGUCACGUCGGGUGUGAAAGCUCGGGGCUUAACCCCGGGUCUGCAUUCGAUACGGGCUGGCUGGAGUGUGGUAGGGGAGAUCGGAAUUCCUGGUGUAGCGGUGAAAUGCGCAGAUAUCAGGAGGAACACCGGUGGCGAAGGCGGAUCUCUGGGCCAUUACUGACGCUGAGGAGCGGAAGCGUGGGGAGCGACACAGGAUUAGAUACCCUGGUAGUCCACGCGCGUAAACGGUGGGCACUAGGUGUGGGCAACAGUGCACGUUGUCCGUCCCGCAGCUAACGCAUUAAGUGCCCCCCCUGGGGAGUACGGCCGCAAGGCUAGAACUCAAAGGAAUUGACGGGGGCACGCACUAGCAGCGGAGCAUGUGGGUUAAUUCGACGCAACGUGAAGAACGUCGUCACGACUUGACUUACACCGGAAAACCCUCGAGACAGGGUGCCCCUUGUGGUCGGUGUACAGGUGGUGCAUGGCUGUCCUCAUAUCGUGUCGUGAGAUGUUGGGCUAAGUCCCGCAACGAGCGCAACCCUUGUCUGAAAGAGCCAGCAACGGUUUCGGCCGGUUGGGGACUCACGGGAGACCGCCGGGGUCAACUCGGAGGAAGGUGGGGUUGACGUCAAGUCAUCAUGCUCGGUAUGUGGUGGGCUUCUCACUUGCUACAAUGGCCGUUACAAUGACAUGCGAUACCGCAAGGUGGAGCGAAUCUCAAAAAGCCGUUCUCAGUUAGGAGAUGGGUCUGCAACUCGUCCCCAUGAAGUCGGAGUUUCUAGUAAUCGCAGAUCAGCAGGAAGCGGUGAAUACGUUUAGCGGGCCUUGUACACACCGCUCGUCACGUCCAGAAAGUCGGUAACACCCGAAGCCCGUGGCCCAACCAGUUAUUCUCGGGGGAGCGGUCGAAGGUGGGACUGGCGAUUGGGAAGAAGUCGUAACAAGGUAGCCGUUCCGGAAGGAGCGGCUCAUCACCUCGAGAUAAUCCGGACCGCGCG